This 111-nucleotide Y RNA is filed under the name Cebus imitator (Panamanian white-faced capuchin). Its description in RNAcentral is "Y RNA (ENSCCAG00000005008.1)". It matches the Rfam family "Y RNA". From Rfam's summary of the family: Y RNAs are components of the Ro ribonucleoprotein particle (Ro RNP), in association with Ro60 and La proteins. The record is from Rfam by way of RNAcentral. Lineage: Eukaryota; Metazoa; Chordata; Mammalia; Primates; Cebidae.
GGUUGGUCUGAAGGUAGUGAGUUAUCUCAAUUGACUGUUCACAGUUACAGAUCAAAUUCCUUGUUCUCCUUCGUCCUGCCCCUUCUGAAUACUGUACUUGACUAGUCUUAA